GAUGAACGCUGGCGGCGUGCCUAAUACAUGCAAGUCGAGCGAACAGACGAGGAGCUUGCUCCUCUGACGUUAGCGGCGGACGGGUGAGUAACACGUGGAUAACCUACCUAUAAGACUGGGAUAACUUCGGGAAACCGGAGCUAAUACCGGAUAACAUUUUGAACCGCAUGGUUCAACAGUGAAAGACGGUCUUGCUGUCACUUAUAGAUGGAUCCGCGCCGCAUUAGCUAGUUGGUAAGGUAACGGCUUACCAAGGCAACGAUGCGUAGCCGACCUGAGAGGGUGAUCGGCCACACUGGAACUGAGACACGGUCCAGACUCCUACGGGAGGCAGCAGUAGGGAAUCUUCCGCAAUGGGCGAAAGCCUGACGGAGCAAAGCCGCGUGAGUGAAGAAGGGCUUCGGAUCGUAAAACUCUGUUAUUAGGGAAGAAAAAAUGUGUAAGUAACUAUGCACGUCUUGACGGUACCUAAUCAGAAAGCCACGGCUAACUACGUGC
RNAcentral lists this ribosomal RNA (498 nucleotides) under uncultured bacterium. RNAcentral describes it as "partial 16S ribosomal RNA". It matches the Rfam family "Bacterial small subunit ribosomal RNA", at positions 28 to 508 of the family's 1533-position model. The record is from RNAcentral.